UCAAAAAAGAGCUGAGCUUCAGUGCCACGACGACAUUCCAAUGUGUUGUCUGUUUUUGAAUUGAACAAGCAGUAAAGGUUAUAAAGUGUCUAUCUAUUUCAAAAAGAUCAUGAGAAACAGGACUGACCCCGCCUGUCCCUGACAGCUUAUGCAUUAUAUGGUUUUUCAUUCCAGCAUUCAAUGAUUUCAAGUGUCUCACACACAGAGUUGAUUAU
RNAcentral lists this long non-coding RNA (215 nucleotides) under Homo sapiens (human). RNAcentral's name for it is "non-protein coding lnc-LRRC8C-7:2". Lineage: Eukaryota; Metazoa; Chordata; Mammalia; Primates; Hominidae. The record is from RNAcentral.